CGCAGCCGCGGUAAUUCCAGCUCCAAUAGCGUAUAUUAAAGUUGCUGCAGUUAAAAAGCUCGUAGUUGAAUUUCGGGAUCAAUAUGUUGGUCGUGCCUCGGUACGUACUAGCUUAUUGGUUUCUUCCUUCUGACGAACCAUAAUGUCAUUUAUUUGGUGUUAUGGGGAAUCAGGACUGUUACUUUGAAAAAAUUAGAGUGUUUAAAGCAGGCUCACGCUCGAAUACAUUAGCAUGGAAUAAUGAAAUAGGACGUUUGAUUCUAUUUUGUUGGUUUCUAGGAUCGACGUAAUGAUUAAUAGGGAUAGUUGGGGGCAUUAGUAUUCAAUUGUCAGAGGUGAAAUUCUUGGAUUUAUUGAAGACUAACUACUGCGAAAGCAUUUGCCAAGGAUGUUUUCAUUAAUCAAGAACGAAAGUUAGGGGAUCGAAGACGAUCAGAUACCGUCGUAGUCUUAACCAUAAACUAUGCCGACUAGGGAUCGGAUGAUGUUAAUUUUUAAUGACUCAUUCGGCGCCUUACGG
RNAcentral lists this unclassified non-coding RNA (520 nucleotides) under uncultured Glomus. Its description in RNAcentral is "SSU rRNA". It matches the Rfam family "Eukaryotic small subunit ribosomal RNA", at positions 569 to 1093 of the family's 1831-position model. The record is from RNAcentral. Lineage: Eukaryota; Fungi; Glomeromycota; Glomeromycetes; Glomerales; Glomeraceae.